This 253-nucleotide ribosomal RNA is filed under the name uncultured bacterium. Its description in RNAcentral is "partial 16S ribosomal RNA". It matches the Rfam family "Bacterial small subunit ribosomal RNA", at positions 524 to 776 of the family's 1533-position model. The record is from RNAcentral.
UACGUAGGGGGCAAGCGUUGUCCGGAUUCAUUGGGCGUAAAGCGCGCGUAGGCGGACCUGCAAGUCGGGGGUGAAAGCCCGAGGCUCAACCUCGGAACUGCCUUCGAUACUGCGGGUCUCGAGUCCGGGAGAGGUGAGUGGAAUUCCUAGUGUAGAGGUGAAAUUCGUAGAUAUUAGGAAGAACACCAGUGGCGAAGGCGGCUCACUGGCCCGGUACUGACGCUGAGGCGCGAAAGCGUGGGGAGCAAACAGG